Molecule: ribosomal RNA, 468 nt
Filed under: uncultured bacterium
Lineage: Bacteria
Description: partial 16S ribosomal RNA
Rfam family: Bacterial small subunit ribosomal RNA
Source: RNAcentral
GACGAACGCUGGCGGCGUGCUUAACACAUGCAAGUCGAACGGAAAGGCCCUGCUUUUGUGGGGUGCUCGAGUGGCGAACGGGUGAGUAACACGUGAGUAACCUGCCCUUGACUUUGGGAUAACUUCAGGAAACUGAGGCUAAUACCGGAUAGGAGCUCCUGCUGCAUGGUGGGGGUUGGAAAGUUUCGGCGGUUGGGGAUGGACUCGCGGCUUAUCAGCUUGUUGGUGGGGUAGUAGCUUACCAAGGCUUUGACGGGUAGCCGGCCUGAGAGGGUGACCGGCCACAUUGGGACUGAGAUACGGCCCAGACUCCUACGGGAGGCAGCAGUGGGGAAUAUUGCACAAUGGGCGGAAGCCUGAUGCAGCAACGCCGCGUGCGGGAUGACGGCCUUCGGGUUGUAAACCGCUUUCGCCUGUGACGAAGCGUGAGUGACGGUAAUGGGUAAAGAAGCACCGGCUAACUACGUG